RNAcentral lists this non-coding RNA (29 nucleotides) under Rattus norvegicus (Norway rat). Lineage: Eukaryota; Metazoa; Chordata; Mammalia; Rodentia; Muridae. The record is from RNAcentral.
CACAUGGUUAUGGUGGAUUUCUAAGAAGG